ACGGAAGGCAGCAGUGGGGAAUAUUGCACAAUGGGCGCAAGCCUGAUGCAGCAACGCCGCGUGAGGGAUGACGGUUUUCGGAUUGUAAACCUCUGUCUUUGGUGACGAAGAAGUGACGGUAGCCAAGGAGGAAGCCACGGCUAACUACGUGCCAGCAGCCGCGGUAAUACGUAGGUGGCAAGCGUUAUCCGGAAUUACUGGGUGUAAAGGGAGCGCAGGCGGGACAGCAAGUCAGCGGUGAAAUGUAUGGGCUCAACCCAUGAUCUGCCGUUGAAACUGUUGUUCUUGAAUGGAGUAGAGGUAGGCGGAAUUCCGAGUGUAGCGGUGAAAUGCGUAGAUAUUCGGAGGAACACCAGUGGCGAAGGCGGCCUACUGGGCUCUAACUGACGCUGAGGCUCGAAAGUGUGGGGAGCAAACAGGAUUAGAUACCCUGGUA
RNAcentral lists this ribosomal RNA (436 nucleotides) under uncultured bacterium. Its description in RNAcentral is "partial 16S ribosomal RNA". It matches the Rfam family "Bacterial small subunit ribosomal RNA", at positions 341 to 792 of the family's 1533-position model. The record is from RNAcentral.